This 293-nucleotide ribosomal RNA is filed under the name uncultured microorganism. RNAcentral describes it as "partial 16S ribosomal RNA". It matches the Rfam family "Bacterial small subunit ribosomal RNA", at positions 505 to 796 of the family's 1533-position model. The record is from RNAcentral.
GUGCCAGCAGCCGCGGUAAUACGUAGGGUCCGAGCGUUGUCCGGAAUUAUUGGGCGUAAAGAGCUCGUAGGUGGUGUGUCGCGUCUGCUGUGUAAGUCCGGGGCUUAACUCCGGUUUGGCAGUGGAUACGGGCAUGCUAGAGGUAGGUAGGGGAGACUGGAAUUCCUGGUGUAGCGGUGAAAUGCGCAGAUAUCAGGAGGAACACCGGUGGCGAAAGGCGGGUCUCUGGGCCUUACCUGACGCUGAGGAGCGAAAGCGUGGGGAGCGAACAGGAUUAGAUACCCUGGUAGUCC